Molecule: long non-coding RNA, 1166 nt
Organism: Corylus avellana
Lineage: Eukaryota; Viridiplantae; Streptophyta; Magnoliopsida; Fagales; Betulaceae
Source: RefSeq, a predicted model, not a curated record
UACUCUUGUCAAAUCAAACUUCCCUCCUUAUGGAAGAGACUUUAUAAAAUAGAUUAAGAGUGUGUAUAUGGGCGAGGCAGUCGCAUGGUAGCUUCAGUGCGUGUACUUUUCCCAUCCUUUUGCUAUUGCUGAAGAGAGAAGCAGCUGUUCAUCACAAAGUCUCUCCACUUCGGAGACUCGAAGUACGUGAGCCAUUUUGUUUUGAGAGGAGAAAGGGCAGGAAAGAGGAGGGCGAGACAGAGAGUGUUCAAUUCCUGUAUUCUCAUUAUCUAUUCGGCUCUUCUCUGCUCUUCUGCAGUCACCCACGAUCCCACUGGAAAAACCAUAACCAACACAAGUUAGUGAAGUAAAGCAACGUCCAGUGACCAUAAUACCCCUGAAAAAUCUCUGAACUCACUUCCUCAAUUCCCGAUGUUCAUGCUCACAGGUCAUUGGCCUUCAGAAGAUGUACUUGCUUACUUUUGCUUAUCACAGGCAGACAUGUUCAGGUAUAAAAGAGUUAUUGCGCUUGGAUCGCGUUAUGGAUUAGCUGGUUUAGUUAUUGCAAGUUGCAACCAUCACCGAGGCAUUCAGAGGUAGUGAUAUCAGAUGGAAAUCCUGAAGUAGUGGAAUGUAUCCUUUAUUUAUUUACUUUUUGAUGACGGCUGUAUCCUCACCCAUAGGCUGGUUAAUUUACUUUUGGUUUAAUCAUGCCAAGCGUUAUUGUGUUGGGAAAUUCAAUGUAUAUUAUAUCUUUUGAUGGUGUUUGUAGGUUGAUAUGUCUUGUUAUUGUCUGUCGAAGUCCAUAGAAUUUAUUUUUUAGACACCUCUUUCAACUUAUCUGUGGAUUGUACAAGGGAAAGUCAGAGUUCCAAGAGUUCUUGGUUUUUUGAGGUUUAGCAUUUUUACCUUGCAGAGUUACUUUCUUUUGUCUACUUAUCAUUUGCAUUGUUUAUAAUUGUUUUAUAUCAGUUGGUAAAUGCGGCAAUUCUUUUGUUUGCAGUCCUCAACACAUGGGAAAGUGCUUGUCUGGGUAACAUUGUUCAGCUGACACAGAGAUGAAUGCGACUACAAGGAGAUGAUUGCUCAUCUUUCUCUUUGUUCCAUUUGUCCCCCAAAACUGUAAUUUAAUAUGAAAAUCAUGGUUUUAAUGUGAAUUCUAUUUGUUAGAUUACGUUCUCUAUGGA